Molecule: long non-coding RNA, 273 nt
Organism: Pieris brassicae (large cabbage white)
Lineage: Eukaryota; Metazoa; Arthropoda; Insecta; Lepidoptera; Pieridae
Exons: 3
Source: RefSeq, a predicted model, not a curated record
UAUAUGUAUUUUAAAAUUAUUAAAACGGCUCCAAAUUUUUUCUACAUAUUAUCAUCACUCGGAAAUGGUGUACCAUACAAUAUUAUGGUGCAUUCUCUUUAACCCCAUACUAAAUUAAAUCAACAUGAUUUGUGACAUGACUGAAAGUACAAGAGUCAUCAUGCCACCAGCAAAGGACUACAACGCAAAAGCUUCAUAUGGGCGAUCACUUUCAAAUAAUGAAACCACAAUGUCAGCGCGUGUCUACCACCCGGCGACAAAUUUAAUACCACC